RNAcentral lists this transfer RNA (58 nucleotides) under Biomphalaria glabrata. It matches the Rfam family "tRNA", at positions 8 to 63 of the family's 71-position model. From Rfam's summary of the family: Transfer RNA (tRNA) molecules are approximately 80 nucleotides in length. Their secondary structure includes four short double-helical elements and three loops (D, anti-codon, and T loops). Further hydrogen bonds mediate the characteristic L-shaped molecular structure. tRNAs have two regions of fundamental functional importance: the anti-codon, which is responsible for specific mRNA codon recognition, and the 3' end, to which the tRNAs corresponding amino acid is attached (by aminoacyl-tRNA synthetases). tRNAs cope with the degeneracy of the genetic code in two manners: having more than one tRNA (with a specific anti-codon) for a particular amino acid; and 'wobble' base-pairing, i.e. permitting non-standard base-pairing at the 3rd anti-codon position. The record is from Rfam by way of RNAcentral. Lineage: Eukaryota; Metazoa; Mollusca; Gastropoda; Planorbidae.
UGGCUGAGUGGUAAAGCGCUUGGCUUCCGAACCGAGGGACAUCGGGUUCGAAUCCCGA